Molecule: ribosomal RNA, 633 nt
Filed under: uncultured bacterium
Lineage: Bacteria
Description: bacterial SSU rRNA
Rfam family: Bacterial small subunit ribosomal RNA
Source: RNAcentral
ACGAGAAAGUGGAGCAAUCCAUGAGUAAAGUGGCGACCGGGUGAGUAACACGUGACUAACCUACCUUCGAGUGGGGGAUAACCUAGGGAAACCUGGGCUAAUACCGCAUAACAUCUUUGGAGUGGAAAUUCUGGAGAUCAAAAGAGCAAUUUGCUUGAAGAGGGAUCCGCGGCCGAUUAGCUUGUUGGCGAGGUAAUGGCUCACCAAGGCAUUGAUCGGUAGCCGGACUGAGAGGUUGGCCGGCCACACUGGAACUGAGACACGGUCCAGACUCCUACGGGAGGCAGCAGUGGGGAAUCUUGCACAAUGGACGAAAGUCUGAUGCAGCAACGCCGCGUGGGGGAUGAAGCUUCUCGGAGUGUAAACCCCUUUCGACCCGGAAGAAUGCCCGCAAGGGUAUGACGGUACGGGUAUAAGAAGCCCCGGCUAACUACGUGCCAGCAGCCGCGGUAAUACGUAGGGGGCCAGCGUUGCUCGGAAUUACUGGGCGUAAAGGGUCCGUAGGCGGUGUAGCAAGUCGAUAGUGAAAUCUCUGGGCUUAACCCAGAGGCUGCUAACGAAACUGCUGUGCUAGAGUGUGAGAGAGGCGAGUGGAAUUACGGGUGUAGCGGUGAAAUGCGUAGAUAUCCGUAG